RNAcentral lists this ribosomal RNA (446 nucleotides) under uncultured bacterium. RNAcentral's name for it is "bacterial SSU rRNA". It matches the Rfam family "Bacterial small subunit ribosomal RNA", at positions 335 to 795 of the family's 1533-position model. The record is from RNAcentral.
ACUCCUACGGGAGGCAGCAGUGGGGAAUAUUGGGCAAUGGGCGCAAGCCUGACCCAGCAACGCCGCGUGAAGGAAGAAGGUCUUCGGAUUGUAAACUUCUGUCAUUGGGGACGAAGGAAGUGACGGUACCCAAUGAGGAAGCCCCGGCUAACUACGUGCCAGCAGCCGCGGUAAUACGUAGGGGGCGAGCGUUGUCCGGAAUUACUGGGCGUAAAGGGUGCGUAGGCGGCGAUGCAAGUCCAUUGUGAAAAGCCCGGGCUUAACCUGGGAGGUGCAGUGGAAACUGCAUGGCUUGAGUGCAGGAGAGGAAAGUGGAGUUCCUAGUGUAGCGGUGAAAUGCGUAGAUAUUAGGAGGAACACCAGUGGCGAAGGCGGCUUUCUGGACUGUAACUGACGCUGAGGCACGAAAGCGUGGGGAGCAAACAGGAUUAGAUACCCUGGUAGUC